UACGAAGGGGGCGAGCGUUGUUCGGAUUUACUGGGCGUAAAGGGCGCGCAGGCGGCUCAUUUUGUCAGGUGUGAAAGCCCCGGGCUUAACCUGGGAACUGCGUUUGAUACGGAUGGGCUAGAGUUCGGGAGAGGAGAGUGGAAUUCCCAGUGUAGAGGUGAAAUUCGUAGAUAUUGGGAAGAACACCGGUGGCGAAGGCGGCUCUCUGGACCGAGACUGACGCUGAGGCGCGAAAGCGUGGGGAGCAAACAGG
Molecule: ribosomal RNA, 253 nt
Filed under: uncultured bacterium
Lineage: Bacteria
Description: partial 16S ribosomal RNA
Rfam family: Bacterial small subunit ribosomal RNA
Source: RNAcentral